RNAcentral lists this ribosomal RNA (1350 nucleotides) under Salmonella enterica. Its description in RNAcentral is "partial 23S ribosomal RNA". It matches the Rfam family "Bacterial large subunit ribosomal RNA", at positions 1 to 1382 of the family's 2925-position model. The record is from RNAcentral. Lineage: Bacteria; Pseudomonadati; Pseudomonadota; Gammaproteobacteria; Enterobacterales; Enterobacteriaceae.
GGGUUGUGAGGUUAAGCGACUAAGCGUACACGGUGGAUGCCCUGGCAGUCAGAGGCGAUGAAGGGCGUGCUAAUCUGCGAUAAGCGCCGGUAAGGUGAUAUGAACCGUUAUAACCGGCGAUACCCGAAUGGGGAAACCCAGUGUGAUUCGUCACACUAUCAUUACGUGAAUACAUAGCGUAAUGAAGCGAACCGGGGGAACUGAAACAUCUAAGUACCCCGAGGAAAAGAAAUCAACCGAGAUUCCCCCAGUAGCGGCGAGCGAACGGGGAGGAGCCCAGAGCCUGAAUCAGCAUGUGUGUUAGUGGAAGCGUCUGGAAAGGCGCGCGAUACAGGGUGACAGCCCCGUACACAAAAGCGCAUGUGUUGUGAGCUCGAUGAGUAGGGCGGGACACGUGGUAUCCUGUCUGAAUAUGGGGGGACCAUCCUCCAAGGCUAAAUACUCCUGACUGACCGAUAGUGAACCAGUACCGUGAGGGAAAGGCGAAAAGAACCCCGGCGAGGGGAGUGAAAAAGAACCUGAAACCGUGUACGUACAAGCAGUGGGAGCACCCUUUGGGGUGUGACUGCGUACCUUUUGUAUAAUGGGUCAGCGACUUAUAUUCUGUAGCAAGGUUAACCGAAUAGGGGAGCCGGAGGGAAACCGAGUCUUAAUUGGGCGUUAAGUUGCAGGGUAUAGACCCGAAACCCGGUGAUCUAGCCAUGGGCAGGUUGAAGGUUGGGUAACACUAACUGGAGGACCGAACCGACUAAUGUUGAAAAAUUAGCGGAUGACCUGUGGCUGGGGGUGAAAGGCCAAUCAAACCGGGAGAUAGCUGGUUCUCCCCGAAAGCUAUUUAGGUAGCGCCUCGUGAACUCAUCUCCGGGGGUAGAGCACUGUUUCGGCUAGGGGGCCAUCCCGGCUUACCAACCCGAUGCAAACUGCGAAUACCGGAGAAUGUUAUCACGGGAGACACACGGCGGGUGCUAACGUCCGUCGUGAAGAGGGAAACAACCCAGACCGCCAGCUAAGGUCCCAAAGUCAUAGUUAAGUGGGAAACGAUGUGGGAAGGCCCAGACAGCCAGGAUGUUGGCUUAGAAGCAGCCAUCAUUUAAAGAAAGCGUAAUAGCUCACUGGUCGAGUCGGCCUGCGCGGAAGAUGUAACGGGGCUAAACUAUGCACCGAAGCUGCGGCAGCGACACUAUGUGUUGUUGGGUAGGGGAGCGUUCUGUAAGCCUGUGAAGGUGUGUCGUGAGGCAUGCUGGAGGUAUCAGAAGUGCGAAUGCUGACAUAAGUAACGAUAAAGCGGGUGAAAAGCCCGCUCGCCGGAAGACCAAGGGUUCCUGUCCAACGUUAAUCGGGGCAGGGUGA